GAUCCUGGCUCAGGAUGAACGCUAGCGGCAGGCUUAACACAUGCAAGUCGAGGGGCAGCAUGACACGGAGAUUCGUCGAAGUGUUGAUGGCGACCGGCGCAAGGGUGCGUAACGCGUGAGCAACUUGCCCGUUUCUGGGGAAUAACCGGUGGAAACGCCGACUAAUACCCCAUAGUAUAACGAAGAGGCAUCUUUUUGUUAUUAAAGAACUUCGGAUAAGGAUAGGCUCGCGUGACAUUAGCUAGAUGGCGGGUAACGGCCCACCAUGCCCACGAUGUCUAGGGGUUCUGAGAGGAAGGUCCCCCACACUGGAACUGAGACACGGUCCAGACUCCUACGGGAGGCAGCAGUGAGGAAUAUCGGUCAAUGGCCGGAAGGCUGAACCAGCCAAGUAGCGUGAAGGAUGAAGGUUCUAUGGAUUGUAAACUUCUUUUAUACGGGAAUAAAACCUCCCACGUGUGGGAGCUUGUAUGUACCGUAUGAAUAAGCAUCGGCUAACUCCGUG
RNAcentral lists this ribosomal RNA (505 nucleotides) under uncultured bacterium. RNAcentral describes it as "bacterial SSU rRNA". It matches the Rfam family "Bacterial small subunit ribosomal RNA", at positions 15 to 507 of the family's 1533-position model. The record is from RNAcentral.